Molecule: unclassified non-coding RNA, 316 nt
Filed under: uncultured bacterium
Lineage: Bacteria
Description: contains 16S-23S intergenic spacer region
Source: RNAcentral
CUUACCACUCUUGCUCGCGACUCUGGCGAACCUGACGUCCUUGUUGUUUCUAGCGGAGGAGGCGCCGGUGAAGCAGUGCGCGGUCUUGCCAUAUUGGAGCGGCGAAAUGCUAGGGAGGGGAGGCGGUGAGCAUGGGUCCGCUGGUCGAUGUGCGCAAUACGGAAUUACUUUCGGCCGCCCUCUCACAAGUUUUCCUGCUAGUCGAGAAGAUCAACGCCCAGGCAUUCCACGCUGCCCAUCAAGAAGUGGUUCAACCAUCGGAAGAAAAGAUCAAUCGAACGCUCUCGUUCUCAACGCAGGUUCAGAAUGUCGGUGG